This 380-nucleotide ribosomal RNA is filed under the name uncultured bacterium. RNAcentral describes it as "bacterial SSU rRNA". It matches the Rfam family "Bacterial small subunit ribosomal RNA", at positions 28 to 409 of the family's 1533-position model. The record is from RNAcentral.
GACGAACGCUGGCGGCGUGCUUAACACAUGCAAGUCGAGCGGUAAGGCCCUUUCGGGGGUACACGAGCGGCGAACGGGUGAGUAACACGUGGGUGACCUGCCCUCAGCUCUGGGAUAAGCCUGGGAAACCGGGUCUAAUACCGGAUAUGACUCCAUGACGCAUGUUGUGGGGUGGAAAGCCUUGUGCGGCUGAGGAUGGGCCCGCGGCCUAUCAGCUUGUUGGUGGGGUGANGGCCUACCAAGGCGACGACGGGUAGCCGGCCUGAGAGGGCGACCGGCCACACUGGGACUGAGACACGGCCCAGACUCCUACGGGAGGCAGCAGUGGGGAAUCUUGCGCAAUGGGCGAAAGCCUGACGCAGCGACGCCGCGUGAGGGAU